GGCGGAACACUUAACUGAUCACAGCCUUCAAGUACAUCAUCUCGUUCGCCUCCUCCUCUUUAACUAGUUCUUUCCCGCAACCUAUCCCUCUCACUUCAUCUUGUAAUUUUCUCAUCGUUGUUGGACUCCGAGCGAGCUCCACCAUGGCGUACUCCAAGAUUGCGGACGAUGUAUCCGAGCCAGCGCUGAAUACAUCCUAAGGAUUAUUAACAUUUUGAGUUAAUGAGACCAUUUGAGAGUCAAACUAAAAGCUACAAAGAUAUUGUGGUAUCCACUCUUUUCACCGAUCAAAUUUCUAAGGAUUUGUAUUGAGUUAAUGAGAUCGAUUGAGAUGGAUCUCAAACUAAAAGCUACAAAGAU
RNAcentral lists this long non-coding RNA (360 nucleotides) under Musa acuminata (dwarf banana). Its description in RNAcentral is "long non-coding RNA (MACU_LNC006841)". The record is from RNAcentral. Lineage: Eukaryota; Viridiplantae; Streptophyta; Magnoliopsida; Zingiberales; Musaceae.